UCAAUAUGCAGAUGCCUUGGUGCCCGCGACUCGCGUCAAGGGCCAAGAGGGAAGCCGGUGCAAUUCCGGCACUGCCCCCGCAACUGUAAGCGGCGAGCGACGCUGGCACGCCACUGGGAUGCGUCCCGGGAAGGCCGGCCGAGCAACGACCCGCAAGCCAGGAAACCUGCCAGAGCGCAAAAGAUGAC
Molecule: non-coding RNA, 188 nt
Filed under: Rhodovulum sulfidophilum
Lineage: Bacteria; Pseudomonadati; Pseudomonadota; Alphaproteobacteria; Rhodobacterales; Paracoccaceae
Source: RNAcentral